AUUCUCUCAGCCCUGCACCAUUAGCCUUCCAUGUGCCACAGUCAUGUUUUCAUCUGCUAAGCAAUUCUCUCAAAAAGUAAACAGUCAUUAAAACGACUGGACAGACGACAUAGGGGAGAUGUAUCUACCGUUCUACCGAGGACAGAUGCUUGCUACCCUGCUUGUGCACCAUGGAAUCCAUCCGCGACAUGGAAAGAUCCUUGACUGGUAGAUCAAGUGUCUUAUUGUAUUUCCUUAAUUCAUUCUGUCUGGAAGAAGAUGUCAGCUGUAUAGCAGUGAGGGGAAAAUGUGAAAGCCUCGAAUCCCCACCAAUAAAGGCCAAGGAACGAAGUUUUGAAUAGAUUUGCCAAGGCAACCUACUAUUCCAAGCCCAGGGAGAGCAGCAUGGAGAUAAAGGGACGGUUGCUGUAUGAGAUGAAGCAGUAUUGUAGGCAAAGGACCACUGUUAAGCUACUGGACGCUACUCCAAUGCUACUGGAAUAUUAUGUACAAUAAUUAUAUAAAAGGCGCUCACCAAGAAUCCGUAUACCAGUCUACAAAAACUUACACACCUGGCUAAAACAGUGACUUACAUGGCAAGAGAACAUGGUAACAUCUGAAGUUAGGUAACAGUCUACAAUGAAUGCUGAAUAUCUUGU
Long non-coding RNA from Pseudophryne corroboree (corroboree frog), 638 nucleotides. RefSeq lists it as uncharacterized. NCBI's taxonomy places the organism in Eukaryota, Metazoa, Chordata, Amphibia, Anura, Myobatrachidae. The transcript is spliced from 4 exons. The record is from RefSeq and is a predicted model, not a curated record.